Molecule: transfer RNA, 71 nt
Filed under: Stenocercus crassicaudatus
Lineage: Eukaryota; Metazoa; Chordata; Lepidosauria; Squamata; Tropiduridae
Description: tRNA-Tyr
Source: RNAcentral
UGGUAGGGGGAAGACUCUAGCUUCCGUUGAUGAAUUUACAGAUCACCACCUAAACUCUCGGCCACCUUACC